CAUAUUUUAUAAACUCUUCCGGUAUACCAGCUGGGACGCGACAAAAUGUUCCAAUGUGUACCUGGCGCAAAUGGCUGGAAGUAGAAAAAGUAGCGCCCCUUUAUAAUCCGGACGACUGAUAAUAAAUAAUUUUCCAUGAGUUGUCCGGUUCGCUUUGGGGCGACAAUC
Molecule: small nucleolar RNA, 168 nt
Filed under: Lachancea lanzarotensis
Lineage: Eukaryota; Fungi; Ascomycota; Saccharomycetes; Saccharomycetales; Saccharomycetaceae
Source: RNAcentral